RNAcentral lists this ribosomal RNA (520 nucleotides) under fungal sp. KRP94. Its description in RNAcentral is "eukaryotic LSU rRNA". The stretch from base 168 to 321 matches the Rfam family "5.8S ribosomal RNA". Lineage: Eukaryota; Fungi. The record is from RNAcentral.
UGGUGACCAGCGGAGGGAUCAUUACCGAUUGCAAAAUCUCUAAACCAUCGCGAACGUUACCCCACGCCGUUGCCUCGGCGGGGAGCCUCUCCGGGGGCCGCCCGCCGGUGGUACCACAAACUCUUUUUAUUUACAGGCCUCUCUGAGUAUUUAUAAAAAUAAGUUAAAACUUUCAACAACGGAUCUCUUGGUUCUGGCAUCGAUGAAGAACGCAGCGAAAUGCGAUAAGUAAUGUGAAUUGCAGAAUUCAGUGAAUCAUCGAAUCUUUGAACGCACAUUGCGCCCGCCAGUAUUCUGGCGGGCAUGCCUGUUCGAGCGUCAUUUCAACCAUCAAGCCCUAGGCUUGUGUUGGGGCCCUGCGGCUGCCGCAGGCCCUGAAAAACAGUGGCGGGCUCGCUGUCACACCGAGCGUAGUAAAACAUCUCGCUUUGGACGUGCGGCGGGUUCUUGCCGUUAAACACCCCCCUUCUCAAGGUUGACCUCGGAUCAGGUAGGAAUACCCGCUGAACUUAAGCAUAUC